This 211-nucleotide ribosomal RNA is filed under the name uncultured Cytophagales ESR 20. RNAcentral describes it as "partial 16S ribosomal RNA". It matches the Rfam family "Bacterial small subunit ribosomal RNA", at positions 316 to 524 of the family's 1533-position model. The record is from RNAcentral. Lineage: Bacteria; Pseudomonadati; Bacteroidota; Sphingobacteriia; Sphingobacteriales.
GUACUGAGACACGGACCAGACUCCUACGGGAGGCAGCAGUGAGGAAUAUUGGACAAUGGGCGCAAGCCUGAUCCAGCCAUGCCGCGUGCAGGAUGACGGUCCUAUGGAUUGUAAACUGCUUUUGCACAGGAAGAAACACUCCCUCGUGAGGGAGCUUGACGGUACUGUGAGAAUAAGGAUCGGCUAACUCCGUGCCAGCAGCCGCGGUAAU